RNAcentral lists this unclassified non-coding RNA (2376 nucleotides) under Hevea brasiliensis (rubber tree). Lineage: Eukaryota; Viridiplantae; Streptophyta; Magnoliopsida; Malpighiales; Euphorbiaceae. The record is from RNAcentral.
CAAAACUGAAAAGCUUCAACUUCUUCAAUUUGGUGCAAGACUAACGACGAGCCUCUUGUACAUGAAAAGCAGGAGUUUUUCGAAGAGACUUCAGAUAUAAGUAUUACUUAUAUUUUACAUGUGAGAAUUACUCCAUCCUUGAACACACAGUACCUGCAGGGUUCAUAAGGAUGUUGUUCUCACUUAGAUGCUACAACCAUUCUAAAACCAAUAAGUAGUAAAUCCUCAUAUUGUGGAUGUAAAACUGACUGCUGGUAAAGCAAGACCUUUCAAUCUUAUAACAUAGGCAACUUUUUUUCCCAGAAUGGGACUAUAAACUAAUCAAGCUCCUUUCUUCUUUUGAUCUUUGGCUAGCUUGACAUCCUUUGUAAGCAUUCUUGGAGCUAUAGCCAUAGCCAUUAGCUCCUGGAAAAGCAGUUUGCAUGCAUAGGGAAUGUGAACCUGGACGAUAUCAGUUUUGUUCUUGCAACCUCUGCAUUCAAAAGAAUUCUUCUUGAGGUUGGCAAUGGCUAUCAGCCCACAGCGCUCACAAACGUGAACUCUGUACGCAUCGCUUUGGUCAAAUAACCGCUCCUUGAGAAAAUGAGCAGCACCAUGAGCAAUCAUACAAUCUCGCUCCAUCUCUCCAAAACGAAGACCACCAUCACGUGACCGACCUUCCGCAGGCUGCCUUGUGAGGAUUUGCACAGGGCCUCUGCCUCUAGAAUGAAUCUUGUCAUCAACCAUAUGCUUCAGCCGCUGGUAGUAUGUGGGACCAAGGAAUAUCAUUGCACUAAGCCGCCGCCCAGUAUGACCAUUGUACAUGGUCUCAAAACCACGCAUCUGGUAACCACAUUUAUGCAGAGCUUUACUGAUGUUAUCCACAGUAACAUCCGUAAAGGGAGUGGCAUCACCUUCUUUUCCCAUGUGUGCGGCAACCUUCCCCAUAAUACAUUCAAUCAGCUGACCAAUAGUCAUUCGAGAAGGAAUAGCAUGAGGAUUUACAAUAAUAUCAGGAGUAAUGCCUUCCACGGUCCAUGGCAUAUCUUCUUGUGUAUAUGUCAUACCAACUGUUCCCUUCUGACCAUGUCUACUGCUAAACUUGUCACCAAUUUGAGGAAUACGGACUGAUCUGACCCUCACUUUAACAAAUCUGAGCCCGUCAGCAUUCGUUGUUAAUAGAACCUGAUCCACCAUUCCAGUUUCACUAUGGCGGAGACUAGUACUGUGAUCUUUCCUCGUAUAGCGAGAGGCUUGCCCUUGUGCAUCAUCCUGAGAAAUGGGAGUGGUCUUCCCAAUGAUAACAUCCUCACCAGAAACUCUAGUUCCUGGAGGGGCAAGACCAUCGUCAUCCAACUUAUCGUACGAACCAUGGCGCAUACCCAUAGUAGAUGCUCUAUCAGGACGUCCAAAAUCCUCCUUGACCAAUGUCCCCAUCUUUUUCUCCUCAUCCCUGUACGAACGGAAAAAUAGAGAUCGGAAAAAUCCACGAUCAAUAGAUGACUGGUUCAUAAUGACAGAAUCCUCUUGAUUGUAUCCAGAAUAGCAGGAGAUGGCGACAAUUGCAUUGAUCCCCGCAGGUAGUUGCCUAAAAUGCAAGUGUUCCAUGGCUCGUGUUGUGACAAGAGGCUUCUGAGGAUAAUAAAGCACAUAGGCCAACGUGUCCAUCCGAAAUUGGUAGUUGGUGACAUAAAUUCCCAUGGCUUGCUUACCCAUAGCUGACUGAUAAGUAUUACGGGGAGACUGAUUAUGAUCAGGAAACGGAAUAAUUGACGCACAGACACCCAAUAUUAGUGAUGGGUGAAUUUCGCAAUGAGUAUAGGUAUCAGAAUAAGCGUCGCCAGGAUUAAGGCGCGCUUGCACAAGAUCAUUUAUAGUCAUGCUAAUCAUCGUUGUUUCUUCCUCUUCAGUGUCAAUAUACUCGAUGUAUCCCUUAGCCACGAGGUCGUGCCAGCCACCCUCGUCAGGUGAUUCCCGUUGUUGCAGUGUCUGAAUAUCCUUCUUCUUGAUCAUCAGCCUUUGCUUUUCCACAAUAAACAAUGGACGACUGCACCUGCCAUAGUCGGUAUAAAUUCGAAGUUCUUUCAAACGGAUAUCACGGACCACCCCAACUUCAGUAUUGACGUCAACCCGCCUCCUGAGUCGUCUCAAUGUUCUCACCAACAUGUCAGGAUCACGAUGAAUUCCCACCCAGGUACCAUUGACAAAGAUCUUUGUAGCCUGUGGAAUAACAGCAGGAGAAAUUUCCUCAAAGUUCUCAGUACCCCACUCUUCCAAGAACUCCAAAAUUGGAUAUGCCGCUGAACCAACUGUUAUAUAAACCAUUAAAGCUAGAUUCUUCACCAGCCCACAUGCUUGACCCUCUGGUGUUUCUGCAGGACACAUCAUUCCCCAUUG